CAGCAGCCGCGGGAAUACGAAGGGUGCAAGCGUUAAUCGGAAUUACUGGGCGUAAAGCGUGCGUAGGCGGUUUGUUAAGUCUGCUGUGAAAUCCCCGGGCUCAACCUGGGAAUGGCAGUGGAUACUGGCAAGCUAGAGUGUGUCAGAGGAUGGUGGAAUUCCCGGUGUAGCGGUGAAAUGCGUAGAGAUCGGGAGGAACAUCAGUGGCGAAGGCGGCCAUCUGGGACAACACUGACGCUGAGGCACGAAAGCGUGGGGAGCAAACGGGAUUAGAUACCCCUGUAGUCCCUGUCUCUUAUAC
Molecule: ribosomal RNA, 301 nt
Filed under: uncultured bacterium
Lineage: Bacteria
Description: partial 16S ribosomal RNA
Rfam family: Bacterial small subunit ribosomal RNA
Source: RNAcentral